Long non-coding RNA from Perognathus longimembris pacificus (Pacific pocket mouse), 425 nucleotides. RefSeq lists it as uncharacterized. The record is from RefSeq and is a predicted model, not a curated record. The transcript has 3 exons. NCBI's taxonomy places the organism in Eukaryota, Metazoa, Chordata, Mammalia, Rodentia, Heteromyidae.
UUACCUGGAACUCUAAAAUAUAAAACAGAUUACAAAAAGCUGCUCUGGCUAAAGAGGCAGCCAGGGAGGGGCCAAGGAGAAUGUGUGGCCUGUAUGCUUGGCUUACCUCUGCUGCCCCCAGAUGGCCUAUGUGGUGACAAAUAAAAAGGUCAAAGUUGCUGGACUAAGCAGCCAGCACAUCCCUUCCAGCUCUAGCUUUCUAGUGCUAUUUGAAGCCUAACAGUAGAAAUAGAGAAAUAAAAUGGUUCUACAACAGGAGAAACUACCCAUAGCACACUGUUGAAAGAACGCCUGGUAAGACAGGGAAAGAUCCACAGGCGGCAGCCCUGAGGACUUUCCCUGUUUUCAUGGGGAGGAACUUCUUGUCCAAGCCCUAUUAUGUUGCUGUGUGUGUCUAACACAGAACUUGUAGCAUAAAAAGAAAU